This 388-nucleotide ribosomal RNA is filed under the name uncultured bacterium. RNAcentral describes it as "bacterial SSU rRNA". It matches the Rfam family "Bacterial small subunit ribosomal RNA", at positions 28 to 417 of the family's 1533-position model. The record is from RNAcentral.
GACGAACGCUGGCGGCGUGCUUAACACAUGCAAGUCGAGCGGUAAGGCCCUUUCGGGGGUACACGAGCGGCGAACGGGUGAGUAACACGUGGGUGACCUGCCCUCAGCUCUGGGAUAAGCCUGGGAAACCGGGUCUAAUACCGGAUAUGACUCCAUGACGCAUGUUGUGGGGUGAAAGCCUUGUGCGGCUGAGGAUGGGCCCGCGGCCUAUCAGCUUGUUGGUGGGGUGAUGGCCUACCAAGGCGACGACGGGUAGCCGGCCUGAGAGGGCGACCGGCCACACUGGGGACUGAGACACGGCCCAGACUCCUACGGGAGGCGGCAGUGGGGAAUCUUGCGCAAUGGGCGAAAGCCUGACGCAGCGACGCCGCGUGAGGGAUGACGGCCU